Long non-coding RNA from Chelonoidis abingdonii (Abingdon island giant tortoise), 350 nucleotides. RefSeq lists it as uncharacterized. NCBI's taxonomy places the organism in Eukaryota, Metazoa, Chordata, Testudines, Testudinidae. The record is from RefSeq and is a predicted model, not a curated record.
CUGCGAGCCGAGCCCGAGAGCGGUGCGGGCCGGUUCCCACUGUGCCCCGUUUCAAAAUAAAGGAGGCGCCCCAGAGACAGCGGCCCUGGGACUCUGCCGCCCGAGGAAGAUCCUGGCUCCGCAGGGAGGAGGAGGGAUGGAGUCAGCAGUGACCAGGAAUUCAGGGCUGACAUCCUAGGACUCAGGAUGGCAGGGAAGUGUACAGCAGUCUGCAGUGAAGGUGCAUCAGGAAAAUUCUAGCUUGGAUGGCUAAAGCAUCUCUGAAAUAGACAAAUUUCAGUUCAAGAGUCCUGGUGUUUGAUUAGAGUGAUUGGAAGAUUCCAGGGUAUUAAAAACCUCUUCAUGCAUCA